Molecule: ribosomal RNA, 393 nt
Filed under: uncultured bacterium
Lineage: Bacteria
Description: partial 16S ribosomal RNA
Rfam family: Bacterial small subunit ribosomal RNA
Source: RNAcentral
AUACGGAGGAUGCGAGCGUUAUCCGGAUUUAUUGGGUUUAAAGGGUGCGUAGGCGGACGAUUAAGUCAGCUGUGAAAUGCCCGCGCUUAACGCGGGAAGUGCAGCUGAUACUGGUUGUCUGGAGUGCCGUUGCCGUGGGGGGAAUGUGUAGUGUAGCGGUGAAAUGCAUAUAUAUUACACAGAACGCCGUUUGUGAAGACACCUCGCAAAGCAGUAACAGACGCGAAGCCACGAAGGCGUGGGGAUUGAACAGGAUUAAAUACCCUUAUAAUCCAGGCAGUAAACGAUGAAGACUAACCGUCAGCUAUAGACCGCCGGUGGCCGAGCGAAAGCGAUAAGUCAUCCACCUGGGGAGUACGACCGCAAGGUUGAAACUGAAAUGAAUUGACGGGG